This 69-nucleotide transfer RNA is filed under the name Ictidomys tridecemlineatus (thirteen-lined ground squirrel). RNAcentral describes it as "Spermophilus tridecemlineatus (thirteen-lined ground squirrel) tRNA". It matches the Rfam family "tRNA". Rfam says of the family: Transfer RNA (tRNA) molecules are approximately 80 nucleotides in length. The record is from Rfam by way of RNAcentral. Lineage: Eukaryota; Metazoa; Chordata; Mammalia; Rodentia; Sciuridae.
GGGGUUGUGGCUUAGUGGUAGAGCGCUCACCUCAAAUGUGCGAGGCCCUGGGUUCAAUCCUUAGCACCA